This 136-nucleotide ribosomal RNA is filed under the name uncultured bacterium. RNAcentral describes it as "partial 16S ribosomal RNA". It matches the Rfam family "Bacterial small subunit ribosomal RNA", at positions 355 to 507 of the family's 1533-position model. The record is from RNAcentral.
UGAGGAAUAUUGCACAAUGGGCGAAAGCCUGAUGCAGCGACGCCGCGUGGGUGAAGAAGGUUUUCGGAUCGUAAAACCCUUUUCUGUGUGACGAGCAAGGACGGUAGCACAGGAAUAAGUCUCGGCUAACUACGUG